GAUGAACGCUGGCGGCGUGCCUAAUACAUGCCAGUCGAGCGAACGGACGAGAAGCUUGCUUCUCUGAUGUUAGCGGCGGACGGGUGAGUAACACGUGGAUAACCUACCUAUAAGACUGGGAUAACUUCGGGAAACCGGAGCUAAUACCGGAUAAUAUUCUGAACCGCAUGGUUCAAAAGUGAAAGACGGUCUUGCUGUCACUUAUAGAUGGAUCCGCGCUGCAUUAGCUAGUUGGUAAGGUAACGGCUUACCAAGGCAACGAUGCAUAGCCGACCUGAGAGGGUGAUCGGCCACACUGGAACUGAGACACGGUCCAGUCUCCUACGGGAGGCAGCAGUAGGGAAUCUUCCGCAAUGGGCGAAAGCCUGACGGAGCAACGCCGCGUGAGUGAUGAAGGUCUUCGGAUCGUAAAACUCUGUUAUUAGGGAAGAACAUAUGUGUAAGUAACUGUGCACAUCUUGACGGUACCUAAUCAGAAAGCCACGGCUAACUACGUG
This 497-nucleotide ribosomal RNA is filed under the name uncultured bacterium. Its description in RNAcentral is "partial 16S ribosomal RNA". It matches the Rfam family "Bacterial small subunit ribosomal RNA", at positions 28 to 507 of the family's 1533-position model. The record is from RNAcentral.